ACUCCUACGGGAGGCAGCAGUCGGGAAUUUUGCGCAAUGGGGGAAACCCUGACGCAGCAAUACCGCGUGUGGGAUGAAGGCCUUCGGGUCGUAAACCACUUUUUUCGGGGACGAUAAUGACGGUACCCGAAGAAUAAGCCACGGCUAACUACGUGCCAGCAGCCGCGGUAAUAC
This 174-nucleotide ribosomal RNA is filed under the name uncultured bacterium. RNAcentral describes it as "partial 16S ribosomal RNA". It matches the Rfam family "Bacterial small subunit ribosomal RNA", at positions 335 to 526 of the family's 1533-position model. The record is from RNAcentral.